RNAcentral lists this unclassified non-coding RNA (249 nucleotides) under uncultured fungus. Its description in RNAcentral is "partial contains 5.8S ribosomal RNA, internal transcribed spacer 2, and large subunit ribosomal RNA". The stretch from base 1 to 52 matches the Rfam family "5.8S ribosomal RNA", at positions 103 to 154 of the family's 154-position model. Lineage: Eukaryota; Fungi. The record is from RNAcentral.
AACGCACAUUGCGCCCUCUGGUAUUCCGGAGGGCAUGCCUGUUCGAGCGUCAUUUCAACCCUCAAGCACUGCUUGGUGUUGGGGCGCGGCCCGUCACAGGGCCGGCCCUGAAAUCCAGUGGCGAGCUCGCCAGGACCCCGAGCGCAGUAAUACAUCUCGUUCUGGAAGGCCCUGGCGGUGCCCUGCCGUUAAACCCCCAACUUCUGAAAUUUUGACCUCGGAUCAGGUAGGAAUACCCGCUGAACUUAA